CACAAAUAUGAAGGCGGGCUGGAAACCUCUCGGGGUUACAGCCUUGCUGAAUUAUUCACCCUUGUCUUUUGCGUACUUCUUGUUUCCUUGGUGGGUUCGCCCACCACUAGGACAAACAUAAACCUUUUGUAAUUGCAAUCAGCGUCAGUAACAAAUUAAUAAUUA
Molecule: unclassified non-coding RNA, 165 nt
Filed under: soil metagenome
Description: partial internal transcribed spacer 1
Source: RNAcentral